GCGGGCUGGAACCUCUCGGGGUUACAGCCUUGCUGAAUUAUUCACCCUUGUCUUUUGCGUACUUCUUGUUUCCUUGGUGGGUUCGCCCACCACUAGGACAAACAUAAACCUUUUGUAAUUGCAAUCAGCGUCAGUAACAAAUUAAUAAUUACAACUUUCAACAACGGAUCUCUUGGUUCUGGCAUCGAUGAAGAACGCAGCGAAAUGCGAUAAGUAGUGUGAAUUGCAGAAUUCAGUGAAUCAUCGAAUCUUUGAACGCACAUUGCGCCCUUUGGUAUUCCAAAGGGCAUGCCUGUUCGAGCGUCAUUUGUACCCUCAAGCUUUGCUUGGUGUUGGGCGUCUUGUCUCUAGCUUUGCUGGAGACUCGCCUUAAAGUAAUUGGCAGCCGGCCUACUGGUUUCGGAGCGCAGCACAAGUCGCACUCUCUAUCAGCAAAGGUCUAGCAUCCAUUAAGCCUUUUUUUCAACUUUUGACCUCGGAUCAGGUAGGGAUACCCGCUGAACUUAAGCAUAUCAAAACCGGGGAAGA
Molecule: ribosomal RNA, 528 nt
Filed under: Alternaria alternata
Lineage: Eukaryota; Fungi; Ascomycota; Dothideomycetes; Pleosporales; Pleosporaceae
Description: partial 18S rRNA
Rfam family: 5.8S ribosomal RNA (bases 153-306)
Source: RNAcentral